AGCGAACGCUGGCGGCAGGCUUAACACAUGCAAGUCGAACGGUCCUUCGGGAUAGUGGCGGACGGGUGAGUAACACGUGGGAACGUACCCUUAGGUUCGGAACAACACAGGGAAACUUGUGCUAAUACCGGAUAAGCCCUUCGGGGGAAAGAUUUAUCGCCUUUGGAGCGGCCCGCGUCUGAUUAGCUUGUUGGUGAUGUACUGGCUCACCAAGGCUACGAUCAGUAGCUGGUCUGAGAGGAUGGCCAGCCACACUGGGACUGAGACACGGCCCAGACUCCUACGGGAGGCAGCAGUGGGGAAUCUUGCGCAAUGGGCGAAAGCCUGACGCAGCCAUGCCGCGUGGAUGAUGAAGGUCUUAGGAUUGUAAAAUCCUUUCACCGGGGACGAUAAUGACGGUACCCGGGGAAGAGGCCCCGGCUAACUUCGUGCCAGCCGCCGCCGUAA
Molecule: ribosomal RNA, 447 nt
Filed under: uncultured bacterium
Lineage: Bacteria
Description: partial 16S ribosomal RNA
Rfam family: Bacterial small subunit ribosomal RNA
Source: RNAcentral